Molecule: long non-coding RNA, 170 nt
Organism: Alosa alosa (allis shad)
Lineage: Eukaryota; Metazoa; Chordata; Actinopteri; Clupeiformes; Clupeidae
Exons: 3
Source: RefSeq, a predicted model, not a curated record
UUUGGACACUGCCUGUGAAUCCAGGCCACACUGACCAGAGACCUGCCUGCACUCCUUUGGAUGAAGAAGGCUACCCGUGUAUACAUGUGUGAACCAUUUCUUGUGUUGGAAAAACAGGAGACCUGAAGAGCUCUUGAUGCUUUUGGUUUGCCUCAUCCAUUAUGUCAGCA